This 264-nucleotide unclassified non-coding RNA is filed under the name Glomus sp. Its description in RNAcentral is "partial contains 5.8S ribosomal RNA and internal transcribed spacer 2". The stretch from base 1 to 65 matches the Rfam family "5.8S ribosomal RNA", at positions 84 to 154 of the family's 154-position model. The record is from RNAcentral. Lineage: Eukaryota; Fungi; Glomeromycota; Glomeromycetes; Glomerales; Glomeraceae.
GUGAAUCAUCGAAUCUUUGAACGCAAAUUGCACUCUCCUCGGAUAGUAUGCCUGUUUGAGGGUCAGCCUAUAAAAAAUCGACAUAGUUGCUGUUUCUCGGCCGCGUUCGUCGGACCUUGGGUCAUCUUAAAUCUUUUGGUUUUAAGCGACUUGAAAUUUUCUUUUUGGUUCCAUGAACGCUUCUAAGAUGUAUUUCUAUACACGUUUCUGGUAUCGAUUUUUAUUAGACGUGACCAUCAUAUCGGACCCCGCCCAUAAGCUUUC